RNAcentral lists this ribosomal RNA (1237 nucleotides) under metagenome. Its description in RNAcentral is "bacterial LSU rRNA". It matches the Rfam family "Bacterial large subunit ribosomal RNA", at positions 1564 to 2810 of the family's 2925-position model. The record is from RNAcentral.
UGAGUACGAGAUGCUACGGCAUUGAAGCAGUCUAUGUCAUACUUCCAAGAAAAGCUUGCACUGUCAUAAAUAAACAAUGCCUGUACCAUAACCGACACAGGUGGGUAGGUAGAGUAUACUAAGGGGCGCGAGAUAACUCUCUCUAAGGAACUCGGCAAAAUGACUCCGUAACUUCGGGAGAAGGAGUGCCUUAUUCGUAAGGUUGCAAUAACAAGAUCCAAGCAACUGUUUAUCAAAAACACAGGUCUCCGCUAAGUCGCAAGACGAUGUAUGGGGGCUGACGCCUGCCCAGUGCCAGAAGGUUAAAGAAGUCGGUUAGCAUUUGCGAAGCUGGUAACUGAAGCCCUGGUGAACGGCGGCCGUAACUAUAACGGUCCUAAGGUAGCGAAAUUCCUUGUCGGGUAAGUUCCGACCCGCACGAAAGGCGUAAUGAUUUGGAUACUGUCUCGGAGAGGGACUCGGUGAAAUAGACUUGUCUGUGAAGAUGCGGACUACCUGCACCUGGACAGAAAGACCCUAUGAAGCUUUACUGUAACUUGAGAUUGAAAUUGGACUUUAUAUGCGCAGUAUAGGUGGUAGGCUAUGAAAAUCUUUUUGCGGAAAGAUUGGAGCCAUCAGUGAGAUACCACUCUUAUAAUGUUAGAUUUCUAACUUUGUAUCAUUAUCUGGUCAAAGAACAGUCUCAGGCGGGCAGUUUGACUGGGGCGGUCGCCUCCCAAACGGUAACGGAGGCGCACAAAGGUUUCCUCUGAACGGGUAGAAAUCGUAUCUAGAGUGUAAAGGCAUAAGGAAGCUUGACUGUGAGACCUACAAGUCGAGCAGGGACGAAAGUCGGUCUUAGUGAUCUGACGGUGCUGAGUGGAAAGGCCGUCACUCAACGGAUAAAAGUUACUCUAAGGAUAACAGGCUGAUCUCCCCCAAGAGUUCACAUCGACGGGGAGGUUUGGCACCUCGAUGUCGGCUCAUCGCAUCCUGGGGCGGUAGUACGUCCCAAGGGUUGGGCUGUUCGCCCAUGAAAGCGGUACGCGAGCUGGGUUCAGAACGUCGUGAGACAGUUCGGUCCAUAUCCGGUGUAGGCGUUAGAAUAUUGAGAGGAGCCUUCUUUAGUACGAGAGGACCGAGAAGGACAUACCUCUGGUGUACCAGUUAUCGUGCCAACGGUAAACGCUGGGUAGCUAUGUGUGGAGUGGAUAACCGCUGAAAGCAUCUAAGUGGGAAGCCCACCUCAAGAUAAGUA